GCGCGGCUGUGCCCGCGGCUUAUUUUUGGCACACGGAGGCUCCUCGCAAAGUCUCGCGCCAUUCCGAGUCCGGCGGACGAAGUUGGCCAGCCCCACCCCCCAAGGCUAUAGCCCACCCGUUUUUGUGUCCUUUUUCCGCUGGACGAACUUGGUGCCCCGGUCUUCGGGCGGUUAUUUUUGGGCGCUUCUGUGCCCGAGCCCUAUUUUUGGCACACGGAGGCGCCUCGCAAGCUCUCGCGCCAUUCGGAGUCCCACAGACGAAGUUGGCCAGCCCCUCCCCCCAAGGCUAUAGCCCACCCGUAUUUGUGGCCUUUUUCCGCUGGACGAACUUAGCGCCCCGUCCUUCGGGUGGUUAUUUUUGGGCCCGGCUGUGCCCGCGGCCUAUUUUUGGCACACGGAGGUGCCUCGCAAACUCUCGCCCCAUUCCGAGUCCGGCGGACGAAGUUGGCCAGACCCACCCCCCAAGGCUAUAGCCCACCCGUAUUUGUGGCCUUUUUCCGCUGGACGAACUUGGCGCCCCGCCCUUCGGGCGGUUAUUUUUGGGCGCGGCUCUGCCCGCGGCCUAUUUUUGGUACACGGAGGUGCCUCGCAAAGUCUCGCGCAAUUCCGAGUCCGGCGGACGAAGUUGGCCAGCCCCACCCCCCAAGGCUAUAGCCCACCCGUAUUUGUGGCCUUUUUCCGCUGGACGAACUUGGCGCCCCGGCCUUCGGGCAGUUAUUUUUGGGCGAGGCUGUGCCCGCGGCCUAUUUUUUGCACUCGGAUGUGCCUCGCAAAGUAUCGCGCAAUUCCAAGUCUAGCAGACGAAGUUGGCCAGCCCCUCCCCCAAAGGCUAUAGCCCACCCGUUUUUGUGGCCUUUUUCCGCUAGACGAACUUGGCGCCCCGGCCUUCGGGCGGUUAUUUUUGGGCGCGGCUGUGCCCGCGGCCUAUUUUUUGCACACGGGGGAGCCUCGCAAAGUCUCGCGCCAUUCCGAGUCCGGCAGACGAAGUUCGCCAGCCCCACCCCCCAAGGCUAUAGCCCACCCGUAUUUGUGGCCUUUUUCCGCAGGACGAACUUGGCGCCCCGGCCUUCGGGCGGUUAUUUUUGGGCGCGGCUGUGUCCGCGGCCUAUUUUUUGUACACGGAGGUGCCUCGCAUAGUCUCGCGCCCUUCCGAGUCCGGCGGGCGAAGUUGGCCAGCCCCACCGCCCAAGGCUAUAGCCCACCCGUUUUUGUGGCCUUUUUCCGCUGGACGAACUUGGCGCCCCGGCCUUCGGGCGGUUAUUUUUGGGCGCGGCUGUGCCCGCGACCUAUUUUUGGCACACGGAGGUGCCUCGUAAAGUCUCGCACCAUUGCGAGUCCGGCAGACGAAGUUGGCCAUCCCCACCCCCCAAGGCUAUAGCCCACCCGUAUUUGUGGCCUUUUUCCGCAGGACAAACGUGGCGCCCCGGCCUUCGGGCGGUUAUUUUUGGGCGCGGCUGUGUCCGCGGCCUAUUUUUGGCACACGGAGGCGCAUCGCA
RNAcentral lists this long non-coding RNA (1496 nucleotides) under Citrus x clementina. Its description in RNAcentral is "Citrus clementina (C. clementina) long non-coding RNA (CCLE_LNC005992)". Lineage: Eukaryota; Viridiplantae; Streptophyta; Magnoliopsida; Sapindales; Rutaceae. The record is from RNAcentral.